GAUGAACGCUGGCCGCGUGCCUAAUACAUGCAAGUCGAGCGAACGGACGAGAAGCUUGCUUCUCUGAUGUUAGCGGCGGACGGGUGAGUAACACGUGGAUAACCUACCUAUAAGACUGGGAUAACUUCGGGAAACCGGAGCUAAUACCGGAUAAUAUUUUGAACCGCAUGGUUCAAAAGUGAAAGACGGUCUUGCUGUCACUUAUAGAUGGAUCCGCGCUGCAUUAGCUAGUUGGUAAGGUAACGGCUUACCAAGGCAACGAUGCAUAGCCGACCUGAGAUGGUGAUCGGCCACACUGGAACUAAGACACGGUCCAGACUACUACCGGAGGCAGCAGUAGGGAAUCUUCCGCAAUGGGCGCAAGCCUGACGGAGCAACGCCGCGUGAGUGAUGAAGGUCUUCGGAUCUUAAAACUCUGUUAUUAGGGAAGAACAUAUGUGUAAGUAACUGUGCACAUCUUGACGCUACCUAAUCAGAGAGCCACGGCUAACUACGUG
RNAcentral lists this ribosomal RNA (497 nucleotides) under uncultured bacterium. RNAcentral describes it as "partial 16S ribosomal RNA". It matches the Rfam family "Bacterial small subunit ribosomal RNA", at positions 28 to 507 of the family's 1533-position model. The record is from RNAcentral.